AACGCACAUUGCGCCCCUUGGUAUUCCAUGGGGCAUGCCUGUUCGAGCGUCAUUUGUACCUUCAAGCUCUGCUUGGUGUUGGGUGUUUGUCUCGCCUCUGCGCGUAGACUCGCCUCAAAACAAUUGGCAGCCGGCGUAUUGAUUUCGGAGCGCAGUACAUCUCGCGCUUUGCAUUCAGAACGACGACGUCCAAAAGUACAUUUUUACACUCUUGACCUCGGAUCAGGUAGGGAUACCCGCUGAACUUAA
RNAcentral lists this unclassified non-coding RNA (249 nucleotides) under uncultured Didymella. Its description in RNAcentral is "sequence contains ITS2". Lineage: Eukaryota; Fungi; Ascomycota; Dothideomycetes; Pleosporales; Didymellaceae. The record is from RNAcentral. RNAcentral also lists the same sequence under 1 other name.